ACACGUGAAGGGAGGUGGUCCAACAGAUGAGUUUCACUUGGACGCGUGAGGUGACUGCCCGCUAGUCGCCCGAGAGCAUCGGACGGAUUGCCUUCCGGUCCCGCCGCUCAGCGGCAGCGAGACCCCGGCAGUCACCGCAGCCCGUGGGUGCCGUGCAUUCGUCCAGCACGGCGCGCCGACAUCCGGCAGCCCACGGGCUGUUCCAC
RNAcentral lists this small RNA (206 nucleotides) under Actinotalea fermentans. RNAcentral's name for it is "Actinobacteria sRNA Ms_IGR-5". It matches the Rfam family "Actinobacteria sRNA Ms_IGR-5". Lineage: Bacteria; Bacillati; Actinomycetota; Actinomycetes; Micrococcales; Cellulomonadaceae. The record is from Rfam by way of RNAcentral.